UGCUCUAGUUUUAACUCUUCACAAAGUUGCUCUGAGACACGGUUUUUCCCGCCGUUGCUGCAGAAUCCAGGUCUGGAUGUUGCGCAAGUGUGUAUGAAUG
Salarias fasciatus (jewelled blenny) is the source of this 100-nucleotide long non-coding RNA. RefSeq lists it as uncharacterized. NCBI's taxonomy places the organism in Eukaryota, Metazoa, Chordata, Actinopteri, Blenniiformes, Blenniidae. The record is from RefSeq and is a predicted model, not a curated record. The transcript is spliced from 3 exons.